Oxyura jamaicensis (ruddy duck) is the source of this 135-nucleotide long non-coding RNA. RefSeq lists it as uncharacterized. The record is from RefSeq and is a predicted model, not a curated record. Lineage: Eukaryota; Metazoa; Chordata; Aves; Anseriformes; Anatidae. The transcript has 3 exons.
AGAUCUAAGCAUGAAGAGCUGCAGGGAUGAAAGACACGGACUCCUGAUGGCUCUUGAACAGGAGACGUUUAUUGCCCUGUUUCACUACUACAUAUGCUUUCCCCGUAGCCCCACGUGUUGUCCAUGCACCCGAUU